Molecule: ribosomal RNA, 206 nt
Filed under: uncultured bacterium
Lineage: Bacteria
Description: partial 16S ribosomal RNA
Rfam family: Bacterial small subunit ribosomal RNA
Source: RNAcentral
UGCGUAGGUGGCCUUUUAAGUUGGAUGUGAAAUACCCGGGCUUAACUUGGGGGUGCAUCCAAAACUGGGAGGCUAGAGUGCAGGAGAGGAAAGCGGAAUUCCUAGUGUAGCGGUGAAAUGCGUAGAUAUUAGGAGGAACACCAGUGGCGAAGGCGGCUUUCUGGACUGUAACUGACACUGAGGCACGAAAGCGUGGGGAGCAAACA